UACGUAGGGGACAAGCGUUGUCCGGACUUACUGGGCGUAAAGCGCAUGCAGGCGGAUUGGUAUGUGCCGUGUGAAAGCUCCCAACUUGCCUGGAAAAGGUCGCGGUAGACAACCGAUCUGGAAGCUCAGAGAGGUUCGUGGAAUUCCCGGUAUAGUAAUGAAAUGCGUAGAUAUCGGGAGGAACACCAAUGGCGCAAGCGGCGAACUGGCCAAGACCUAACGCUGAGACGCGACGGCGUGGAGAACAAACCGA
RNAcentral lists this ribosomal RNA (253 nucleotides) under uncultured bacterium. RNAcentral describes it as "partial 16S ribosomal RNA". It matches the Rfam family "Bacterial small subunit ribosomal RNA", at positions 524 to 776 of the family's 1533-position model. The record is from RNAcentral.